This 509-nucleotide long non-coding RNA is filed under the name Sorghum bicolor (sorghum). RNAcentral describes it as "long non-coding RNA (SBIC_LNC012685)". The record is from RNAcentral. Lineage: Eukaryota; Viridiplantae; Streptophyta; Magnoliopsida; Poales; Poaceae.
UCAAGUAUCAUAUUUUUAACAUAUUUAAAACACAUGAAAUAAAGCACAUAAAAUCAUAAUUUGCUCAAGAGUGUCAUGCUCAUGAUGCUUAUGUUUGAUGGAAUGCUUAUGCAGGGCUUUGGUGAGACUAAGUGCAUGCUUAACACCUAGGGUGUUACAGCCCUUCCCCCCUUAGGGAAAUCUCGUCCCGAGAUUUUGGGUUACUAACCAUUUCUUGUGAAAUUUUGGAUAAACUGCUUUUAAGUAAUCCUCCGUUUCCCAAGUGGCAUCCCUAUCGUCAUGAUGACUCCACACCACUUUAUAAGUUCUGACAAUUCUGUUUCGGGUUACUCGCUCCUUGGUAUCCACGAUCCCCACUGGCUGCUCUUUAUACUCUAAGUCUGCUUUUAUUUUGAUCCCUCGAGGUUCAACUCUUUGCUCAGGCACUUUCAAACAUUUCCGUAGUUGCGACACAUGGAAGACCGGAAAGAUCGAGCUCAUCUCUUCAGGUAAUUGAAUCUUAUAGGCCA